AAGCGUGAGCAACUCAGGUUUUAAGCGCGUGAAUAUUGAAAAGAGAAGAGCACAAAUACUACACCACACCCUUAACUCCGACGACUUCUCCAUCUCCACCACCUACCCGUUAUUUCACUUUCACUCUAUAAAUGCUCUGUCACUGCCUCCACCAGACUAUCAUUAUCUCGGCUUGUAUUCAUCUAAAACCAGUCAAUAUUCAUUCAUGAAAAAAACCCAACCCAACGUUCCUCUUUCUCUACAAUCACAAUCACUUUUGACCAAAAAACAACAGUCAGCCAUCACUCUUCAACAUCACACAUAAAACAUCAAGAAAACCCAUAAAAUAAAGUAUUCUUUUAAUUUAGGAUGUUCUUAGUAAAUAAUUAGGAGGACCCAGUAGCAUCUGGUUAAAUUGAAGAUAUGAUAAGCCACAACAUCAAUCUUCUCUUUUGAUAAAAUGAGCAAUCAAGAGCUUUAUAAGUGUGAAAAUUAUGAAAUCUUUGAGUUCAAUAGUGAUGGAAAAUUGUUCAGUUAUCUCAUUUAAAUUGUUCAAGUGGAGGGUGCUCUAUUAUACCUUCAUUGGAUUUAUUUCCGUUGAGAAUGGAGAAAUGACAGUGACAGUGAAAGUGCACAAAUGGGUCUAAUGAUAGCGGGUUCAUCCUUCGGCGCCUGCGGUUGCAUCUCCCGACGAGGAUGAGGUCUUGUUUCUAGACCCAGAUCAGCUUGAGAUUCUGAGUGUACCAACUGAACUAGAUCCCAAGAAGAAUCACGUUAUGCAGAAGGGCGCAAAGGCGAGGGAUGAUCAUGGCUUAGAGCCCCCUCUUAUUAAGAGGAAAAAAAGGGAUGGAGACGAAGGCGAGGGCGGUGGGAAUGAUACGAGCCUUAGACCUAAGGAUAGUCUUAGGCAUAUCACAUGUGAGACCCAUCCUCGAUAGUGUAUAUACAACAGUGUUGUACAGUUUAAGUAAAUAUUAUAUAUUUUUUACGUAUCUA
This is a long non-coding RNA of Lycium barbarum (goji berry), 975 nucleotides long. RefSeq lists it as uncharacterized. The record is from RefSeq and is a predicted model, not a curated record. Lineage: Eukaryota; Viridiplantae; Streptophyta; Magnoliopsida; Solanales; Solanaceae. The transcript has 2 exons.